CCCCCCAGCAGCACCACACGAGGAAGCCAACAUCAAAGGCUGCUUUGCAGAUGUCCCGCGUGCCCAGCACCCCUCUGAGGCUGGCACAUUCACCUCCAAAACCCACAGGGAUGUUCCCUCUUUCUCCAAGAGCCAGGAUCCCUUCUGUCCAAGGGCUCUGCCCCUCGUUCCCUCCCAGCCCUGUCUCUCCCUGCUCAGCUCAGCCACAGGAAACACCAGGAGUUAACUGGGAUGUUAUUGCAGCCCUCCUGUGGCUGGGGUCUCCUCCGCCCUCCCCAACAAGGAGGCAGCCGAGCACAGCCCCCAAACAGCCCCACAGGAAAGUGAGCAGCCUCACUUGGACCACACCACCACCAGCACCACAUCCCGGUGUCCUCCUGCCCUCCAAGGGCCCCACGGUGGAACGGCUCCGUCCGUGGGCACCUCCUGACCCCUGGGCAAGCCGCCAGCUCCUGCCUCCACCCUGUCCCCCAGCCCUGAGCUCCAGAGAAGGACCGUGGUUCUGGGGACACCACGGAGCAGCUGCUUUGCACUGUUUUGUGUUUUUUUUGUUUUUUUUUUUUUCCCCUUGGCUUGCCCCUGCUUAUCAGCCAUUGUUUCUGCGAGGGGAAGUCCCCACAUCCCAGGACGGGUGCUGCGCUGCUGCCACUGCUUGCUGGCUCUGCCAAGGAGCACGGUGCCCACAGCUGGCCAGUGACGGACCCGUGCCAAACGCUGGCACCCUCUGGGCACAUCAAGGAGCACGGUGCCCACAGCUGGCUGGUGACAGACCCGUGCCGGACCCCAGCACCCCCCAUGCACAUCGUGGCCGCAGGCACGGGCGGCUCCAGGCUCGUAAGGAGCCUGCUCCUACCAGGGUGGUGCCAGGCAGGCAGGACGAGGACAGCGCUGGGGUGGAGGCAUCGCCCCACCCUGCCUUACAGCCAACCCCAAAACCAGCGCUGGGUCGCUAAGACCACCCCCCCCCCCCAGACGAGCCUCCCUCGCUAAGUGAGAAAGCAUCUGUGCUUCUCUCCCCAGCCCUUCUCUCUGCCAGGUUCCUGGGGAGUGAGUCACUCCUGCAAAGCUAUAUCGAGACAGUUUGGCUUCUCCCCACAUCCACACCUUGCCAAUCACACAGGACUGCAAGGCUCAUCCUACUCCGGCUGCAAGAGCC
This 1156-nucleotide long non-coding RNA is filed under the name Anas platyrhynchos platyrhynchos (common mallard). RNAcentral's name for it is "lncRNA (ENSAPLG00000024087.1)". Lineage: Eukaryota; Metazoa; Chordata; Aves; Anseriformes; Anatidae. The record is from RNAcentral.